This 249-nucleotide small RNA is filed under the name Histoplasma capsulatum. RNAcentral describes it as "hypothetical RNA". Lineage: Eukaryota; Fungi; Ascomycota; Eurotiomycetes; Onygenales; Ajellomycetaceae. RNAcentral also lists the same sequence under 1 other name. The record is from RNAcentral.
AUUGCACUUCUAAACCCGGACGGAAGCCAGGAGAACAGCGCAUAUUCCCACGUUUACCCCAAUGGCCAACAUGCGACACUCUGGAUGCAGGUAGUAGCACUGCUGUCACAACGACUUUGAUGUAGCUUUAUUGAGAUAUUAUAUUAUGAAAUGAUGUUGAGAGCGCUUCAAUGAUACUAGUAUGGUUCUCUAGCAAUAUAAGUGGGUCAGGGGGAGAAGGCAGGAUAUUAUAGACAUGAUAUAAGACUG